Long non-coding RNA from Triticum dicoccoides, 3467 nucleotides. RefSeq lists it as uncharacterized. NCBI's taxonomy places the organism in Eukaryota, Viridiplantae, Streptophyta, Magnoliopsida, Poales, Poaceae. The transcript is spliced from 4 exons. The record is from RefSeq and is a predicted model, not a curated record.
UCCCAGCCACCCCGAAUCAGUCUCAGCCCACUCCCGUGUGUGCUGGAUAGGGUUCCCGGCCACCCUCACCGGUCGCCGCCGCCGCCCUCACCGGUCGCUGCCGCCGUCGGUUUCCCCUACAUGGCCGGAGGAUAGGCCAUCCCGCCGGUCCAUUCCCGCCCCACCGUGAGGGAGGAGACCGACCAGUUGUGCCUCCCCGCCGGUCGCCGCCCGCCACCCCACGCUAUGAUGUACCCCGCCGCCAGGAGGCCAGGAGGCCGCCAUGGAUGACCGUCCCGAGCUCGCCUCGCUGCUCCUCCGGUGACCCUCGUUGCGCCUGGAUCCGGGCGGAUCCGACGAUUCCCCGACGCGCAGGCGGGCCGGCACGCGGCGCUAGGCGAAGGAGCCCUCCCAUGGCGGAUGAAUCGACUGUAGUGUGCAGCAUAUCGGACAGCUGUAGUCGUCCAUGAGGCUGCUGGCGGAUGCUGUGUGGAGGAAGGACGGCAAGGCUGGUGGUGCAGUAGUUCACCUCCUCUACGCCCUUUGAAUCUGCAACCCGUUAUUCCUAGCAGGCAUCCAGACGUUAGGAGUGAAGGGCUCCAAGGUGGUGCAAUGGUUUACAAGAAAACAUCCAAAUGGAGAAGAGCAAAAAUCGCUAAGGCUGUGUAUCUUUCUCACCUGCUCUUUUAAACAGAAUAAUUCUUUAUAUUAUUCCCCUUUUUAUUUGUUAAAGCACAAUUAAUUAUCGGCGAGAAUGUAGGGGCAACAGAACAUUUCAUGUCUGACAUGCUAUUUUGGUUUGAACAUAGCUAUAUUUAUUUAUUUGACUUUCCCUCUCGGUUGCAAAAUCUUGACUUAAUACCGUGUUGCAAUGUUCUUUUAGAAUUUUUAUGCUCAAAGUUCUACUAUUUUCACUUCAAUUGGAGAGUAGCCCCUCUUUCCAUGUCAUACCAAGAGCACGAGUUCAAAUCUGGUGGGGUUCGUGCUAUCACAACGUUUUGAUACUUUACGUGUAGUGCUUUUCCUCCUUGAUUCUGCUAAGCCAUAAUUUUUUCUCCUCUUUCCAUUCUAUGUGAUAAUCCAUAUCACAAGGGGCAAAGCUUAUUACCAACAUGCAAACAAACUAUAAAAUUUGGAAUUCUAAUAUAUGGUGAAUGCAUGCUUCGUAUUUGCAGGUUUAUAGGACAUAAGUAUUUCUUCUGGGUAUUAAUAAUAUUCCUAUAUUCCAAUUUGUAAAAGAUUUCGCAAGUAAGAAAUGUUACAUAAAUGUAUAAUGUGAUCAUUAAUAUACCAAGCGUUUGAUCAAAAGAAAAAUCACUAUAUACAUGCCUAUUUAUGAGCAGUACGCAUUACACUAUAAGUUGUAAAAAGGAGGUGAUCAGAUUCAACUCCAUCCUAUAUCACCAUGUGCAAGGUAGUGGUGUCUUGAUGCAUAUGUGUUGAAUCAUCUGUACCGUUGAUUAGUAUUAUGUAUUGUUCUUACAAAAAAACUGCUUUGCAUGAUAUGCACACGAUUCGUGACUUACAUUGAUUCACAUGAUACUUUGGAGUAGCAGAUUUCUAAUACAUAUUUGCAAGUCUAUGCAUGUCUUAUUUUGUCUUUAUAACACAGAAGAAACUAGCUAUUAAAAUAUAUUUAAAUACUUAUAAAUUGCUGCAAUAACAAAAGGAAUCUGGCUGUAUCAUGCACCACAAAGAGCUCAUAUAAAUACAUGAUUGUCAAUGCGAUAUAGAUAUUAGUAUGUAUAGAAAAUAUAAAUUGUUGGUAGAGACAAGAACUUCUAAUCUGAAUAAUCUAUGGUACUUACACUAUAAUGAGUAUACACAAAUCUCUUUUUUUAAAUGUUUAUGGAAACAUACUCUCUUUAUAAUUCUACCAUGCUUCUUUGGCAAAAAGGAAGAUAUAUGCCACAAUAGCGCACUUGAUCGCAGGUGGUCAUCCUCCUACCAACGAAGAGCAUUAAGAGGUCAGCUAACUUCUCUUUCGUUCAGAAGUACACGCUAUUGGAUGAGAUUUUAAUUUCUACUGUAUGCAUUUUUCCCCUAUCUUUCGAAAAAAUAUAAAGACAUGCAGAUUGUGUGUUGUUGAAAGAAAAUUGCACUUAAUCUAUCUCUGUAUUGUAACAAGAUGUUGUGUUGUACAUGUACAAUUCAGGCGGAUGCUAGUAGCUGCUCUUUUCCCUUGCUCUGAUCUUCAUCUCUACCAUGCCGCAAGUAUAGCUUGCUCUACUUUCCCUCUGUUUGUUGGAUUCCAUCUGUUUUGUGAAAUGUCUGUUACCGUUUUUGUCAGCCAGAGGAGAGUUGGAAUAUUUAGUAGCUUGGCAAUGCUAGCAUUCUAUUUUCAGCAUGUUUUAGUAUCUAUGGAAAAUUCUAACUUAUUCUUCGUGUUAAGUUCAUCUAGUUGCACAACAGAUACUGUUACCUAUACAUAAGAGCUCUCUUAAGACACUCCAACCAAGUCUUUUGUUUAAAUGGUAAACAUUAGAUAUUUUCAACUAUUCUGUGGGUGAGAGUAGUUGAAGGUUAUUCAUGGAAUGCCAGGUGAGUGCACAGCUGCUAGUUACAUACAUCUCUUUGAGGUCAUUGUCUGCAGUCUUACCUUGUUGAGAUCAUCGUUUACCAGUGGGUGAUGAUUGGUAGAAUAUUGGCUUACCUUAUUUCAGUAGCUGAAUGUAAUUAUCAGGAUUGUACUCUACUUUCUACCUGAAUGCAAUUAACAUGAAUUGAUACGAGCCCGGUAAAAAAAUGCAGAAUACUGUUGAUCUGCUUAUCAGCAUCUCCAUCAUCUGCAUUGUCAGCUGGACAGGAACUCUUCCGUUGUGAAUAUGACAACAAUAUUCUGCCAAGGAUGAGUUACAUUCGAAAAACACCGAUUCACUAGGGUUUGGGCUACCGCGUAGCUGGUGUGGCUCCAGCGUUGCUCCGCACCGGGACGCCAUGGACAGGAUGGCCACUUCCUCCCCUGCCCGGACGCCAUGGAGUGGCUAGAUCUGGCCAUGGACGACGACGCCCAGUGACAAGGGAUGGCCUGUCCUGCCACCCUGAAGCCAUAGCAAGGCGGAUGAACAAGGAGGAGACCACAGUCGGAGGGGAGCUAGGAGGGGUCUGAAGCGGUCGUCUCUUUCGAGCGCAAAGACGGGUCUGCGGUGGAUGCUGGGUUGCAGCUCAGGUCGAUGGUGCGGCCAUGGACACAACCUCCUCAACCUCGACAACCAAUGCGUCGGCAGGGGAGCAACUAAUUCCUGAACCUUUGCUUCUCCUCUUUUAAUUCGAAGUUCUUAGUUUAGUUCCAGAUUUCUAUGCAUGCCACCUUGUUAUGAUUAAUUAGGUUAGUUUAGUUCCAGAUUUCUGAUAGUAGGAUAAUACAAACCUGCAGCUUUGUUGUACUAGUGAUAGUAGGAUAAUGCAAGUUUUGACAAUCCAUGCAUAUUUCCGCAUCAUAAUAAUCUUCUUCUUCUAGUCUUCUUCUAACUUUCUUCUUUCCCAUU